UACCGCAUACCUUCUCUUCACCGCAUGGUGAGUUGAAGAAAGAUUUAUCGCUCUAGGAGGGUCUCGCGGCCUAUCAGCUAGUUGGUGAGGUAAUGGCUCACCAAGGCAUCGACGGGUAGCUGGUCUGAGAGGACGAUCAGCCACACUGUGACUGAGACACGGCCCAGACUCCUACGGGAGGCAGCAGUGGGGAAUUUUGGACAAUGGGCGCAAGCCUGAUCCAGCCAUGCCGCGUGAGUGAAGAAGGCCUUCGGGUUGUAAAGCUCUUUCGGCCGGGAAGAAAUCGCAUGGGUCAAUACCCUGUGUGGAUGACGGUACCGGAAUAAGAAGCACCGGCUAACUACGUGCCAGCAGCCGCGGUAAUACGUAGGGUGCGAGCGUUAAUCGGAAUUACUGGGCGUAAAGCGUGCGCAGGCGGUUUGGUAAGUCAGAUGUGAAAUCCCCGGGCUCAACCUGGGAACUGCAUUUGAGACUGCCAAGCUGGAGUUUGGCAGAGGGGCGUGGAAUUCCACGUGUAGCAGUGAAAUGCGUAGAGAUGUGGAGGAACACCGAUGGCGAAGGCAGCCCCCUGGGCCAAUACUGACGCUCAUGCACGAAAGCGUGGGGAGCAAACAGGAUUAGAUACCCUGGUAGUCCACGCCCUAAACGAUGUCAACUAGGUGUUGGGAGGGUUAAACCUUUUAGUGCCGUAGCUAACGCGUGAAGUUGACCGCCUGGGGAGUACGGCCGCAAGGCUAAAACUCAAAGGAAUUGACGGGGACCCGCACAAGCGGUGGAUGAUGUGGAUUAAUUCGAUGCAACGCGAAAAACCUUACCUACCCUUGACAUGUCAGGAAUCCUGGAGAGAUCUGGGAGUGCUCGCAAGAGAACCUGAACACAGGUGCUGCAUGGCUGUCGUCAGCUCGUGUCGUGAGAUGUUGGGUUAAGUCCCGCAACGAGCGCAACCCUUGCCAUUAAUUGCCAUCAUUCAGUUGGGCACUUUAAUGAGACUGCCGGUGACAAACCGGAGGAAGGUGGGGAUGACGUCAAGUCCUCAUGGCCCUUAUGGGUAGGGCUUCACACGUCAUACAAUGGUCGGUUCAGAGGGUUGCCAACCCGCGAGGGGGAGCCAAUCUCAGAAAGCCGAUCGUAGUCCGGAUCGCAGUCUGCAACUCGCCUGCGUGAAGUCGGAAUCGCUAGUAAUCGCGGAUCAGCAUGUCGCGGUGAAUACGUUCCCGGGUCUUGUACACACCGCCCGUCACACCAUGGGAGCGGGUUCUGCCAGAAGUAGUUAGCCUAACCGCAAGGAGGGCGAUUACCACGGCAGGGUUCGUGACUGGGGUGAAGUCGUAACAAGGUA
This 1339-nucleotide ribosomal RNA is filed under the name metagenome. RNAcentral describes it as "bacterial SSU rRNA". It matches the Rfam family "Bacterial small subunit ribosomal RNA", at positions 167 to 1498 of the family's 1533-position model. The record is from RNAcentral.